Molecule: ribosomal RNA, 468 nt
Filed under: uncultured bacterium
Lineage: Bacteria
Description: partial 16S ribosomal RNA
Rfam family: Bacterial small subunit ribosomal RNA
Source: RNAcentral
GACGAACGCUGGCGGCGUGCUUAACACAUGCAAGUCGAACGGAAAGGCCCUGCUUUUGUGGGGUGCUCGAGUGGCGAACGGGUGAGUAACACGUGAGUAACCUGCCCUUGACUUUGGGAUAACUUCAGGAAACUGGGGCUACUACCGGAUAGGAGCUCCUGCUGCAUGGUGGGGGUUGGAAAUUUUCGGCGGUUGGGGAUGGACUCGCGGCUUAUCAGCUUGUUGGUGGGGUAGUGGCUUACCAAGGCUUUGACGGGUAGCCGGCCUGAGAGGGUGACCGGCCACAUUGGGACUGAGAUACGGACCAGACUCCUACGGGAGGCAGCAGUGGGGAAUAUUGCACAAUGGGCGGAAGCCUGAUGCAGCAACGCCGCGUGCGGGAUGACGGCCUUCGGGUUGUAAACCGCUUUCGCCUGUGACGAAGCGUGAGUGACGGUAAUGGGUAAAGAAGCACCGGCUAACUACGUG